CAGGGGGAGCAAAUCAGUUCGGCCAGUAUUCUCGUUCAGCGCGGACGAUCCCGGAAUAGUUUACGAGACGUGGAACGCGUCACAAUUUUCAUUUCAGUCAUAAUAACAAUAAUAAUUGCAAUAAUAGGUCGCGACCGGCCGAGAGAAUGUGGGAUUGAGACAGAAGAGCAAAAGAAACACGAGUUUUUAAAAACUAUGGUAUCGUGGUGAUUCGAUAGUGUCUGUAAUUGUAGAUAAAAUAUCAGAGGGCGCGCAUGUUGUUCUGUCAAAGAUACAACCACUUGGAGAAGCAAAAGAUCAAGAUAAACUAGUAAAUGAAGUGCGACAAGAAAAAAAGCAACGAUUAUAAAAGUUUCCGAUUGAAAUUUCUCGUGCAAAACCUCUUAGAAUUUUGAUCCGAAAUAAUUUUGUUUUCAUCUGUGUAACGUUGAAAAAAAUAUUACAAAGAUAACGACAAAUUGUACAGACGACAGUGGAAUCGUCUGAAGGAGAGGAAAAAUAAUAGUGAAAACUUGGCUCAAGAAUCUAAAGUCAACCAUCGGUGCUCAGUAGUAUUCUUUUAUUCCGUCAGACGUCUCGAACCUUUUUCCAUACAUCCUCGUCCCCCUCUCUCUUCCUCUCCUCAUUUUCUAACUACGGUAUUACGAAAUAUCGAGGAUUUUACCGUUGCGAAGUUCCGAGUUGGUUCAUUAUUGGUUUCGAAAAAGUAAUAAAUAAAUCGUGAAUAGUUGAAAAAUAGCAAAAGCACAAGGAUUAAACGAAGAUGGAAGUGACGGAAGAGCCGACGAGCACAGAAGUGGAGACGAGCGACGGUCUCGUCGAGGAACCCGACGAUCAUGGCACAACCGUCGAAGAAGCUGAUGAUAAUGGUGCGACCGUCGAGGAAGAAUACGAAAUUACAACCACCAGACGAAAAACUGUUAGAACCAGUUACAAAAUUCAAGAGACAUCGGCAACCCACAAAACAACCACCAUGACAACCGCAGCAAAGCUGUAUGGCAAAGAUCUCAGCGAAUAUGACGAUGUGGACGUCGACGAACUUCUCGAUCAGCUUACGCCUGAAGAAAUCAACAUAUUGGCAAAAGAAGUUGAUCCCGAUGACAGUUUUAUGCCACCAUCGGAACGUUGCAGCUACGAGUGCGACAAGAGUCCAACGGGGCCGUUGAACCGCAAGAAACUCAUCGAGCACAUCAACAAACAAGCGUUAGAGACACCUGAUAUUCCUGAACUGAAGCCUUAUGUGCCCGGCGUCGUGAGAGGAAAGAAAUGGGUACCACCGCCGCAAGAUAACAUCAAAGAAAAAGAGGCUGAGGAGCAAAUAGCUAUCGAUCUCGGUGACGAGUACGAACACGCACUGUCUUCGGCUACUCAAGAAGAGAUCAUUGACCUUGCUGCCAUUCUUGGUUUUCACUCGAUGAUGAAUCAGGAUCAAUAUCAUGCGUCUCUCUUAAAUUCCGGCCAACCAGUUGGUAUGGGUUGGGAUGGUAUAACGAAAGCGAGUCAACCAAAAGUUUUUCCUAUGGAUCCACCAAACGAUACCGAUGUUGAUUCGACGAUUAGACAAGUCCGCGAGGAUGAUCAUACAUUAAUGGAUCUCAAUUGGAAUAACAUCAAAAAUAUUUCAGAAGAAAAGUUCCUACAGCUUUUCGAAGCCCUGGAAGUGAACACACACCUGGAAACGUUGAGCCUGACAAACGUUGGUCUUACCGACAGAACGGCACAAAGAUUGGCAGAAGCCAUGGAAAAGAAUUCGACUCUAAGAGUCCUCAAUGUUGAAACGAAUUUCAUUAGUCCAACUGUGAUGGUGAGGCUAAUAAGAGCGCUAUUGAAAACCAAAUCUAUCGAGGAAUUUCGAUGCUCAAAUCAGAGGUCGCAAGUGUUGGGUAACAAAAUCGAAAUGGAAAUCACGCAGCUGGUCGAACAAAAUCCAACGUUAUUGCGAUUGGGUUUGCACCUUGAGUUCAACGAUGCAAGACAUCGCGUUGCUGCUCAUCUGCAGCGUAAUAUCGACAGGAAUGGGAGCCAGUGUAUGGGAGAUUAUGACGACUAUAUGAGUAAAUACUCAUAGAAACAAAAAAUAUGAUAAAAACCGAAAAAAAAGUCUUCACAAAUCGCUUCGUAGUCUGAUAUAGAGCUUGUCAUCAACCAUUCAUCCAAAUCAUCCUGCUAUUGUUCACUCAUUUUUCUUAUCUAGCCUAGCGGCAUUGAGUUUGUCGUGUCGAAGCUUUGGAACGUGCCAAGACCGUUGCGAUCGGUGCUGGUCCCGCUGGCUUCACUGUUCUCCCUGCAGAUGCCUUUAAAGCUCGAACGUAGCCUUAAAAAAAAAAAAAAAAUGGUCAAAAAAAAACAAACGUACAAUUUAUAAAGAGCGCAGUGAGUAAAAUUAUCGUGACAUUUCCCAUCCCUCAAGUUUUAUUAAUUUCAUUUCAAAUUUACUAUUUGUUCUCGUGACAUUUAUACUUGUGAUAUUGUUAACAAGCUAAACACCUCGUUUCGACGAUGAUCGAGCCUCGAGGAGUAAUUUUAUCGCCCCCCUGACACUGUGCUCGAAAUUGCUCGUCGAUUUUUCAUGUUUUCGUGAAAUUUCUCCUUCCCGUUGAUUUUAUUUUUGUCCGUAAAUAAAAUAUUCUUAUACACUACACUCUCAGUUCACCACAGUUUUUACGAUCCGUAACAGAUUAUACAUAAAAAUACGUUACAGAUUAGUCGAAUAUAAGCGGAAACAGAAUCUCGUGGAGCGAGAUGGACUUUCAUCGAGCACGCAUUCUCCGCAUGAUUUAUUUUCUUUCACGCUUUCUUAUCUAUCACUUUUACCUCUCUCAGAGUCCCAUUUAUUUAUACUCAUUCCAACUCUUUCUGUUUCUACCUCUCUCUUUUUUCUUCUCUAUGUACAUAUCGACGAUUUUUCCGAAAAUUGCGUAACUCCUUUUCAUCUUAAUCGCUGUUAAUAAAAAAAAAAAAAAAAAAAAAAACAUUAAAAA
This 2981-nucleotide unclassified non-coding RNA is filed under the name Venturia canescens. Its description in RNAcentral is "tropomodulin, transcript variant X7". The record is from RNAcentral. Lineage: Eukaryota; Metazoa; Arthropoda; Insecta; Hymenoptera; Ichneumonidae.